CGCAGCUCCACGGCAGAGCGAGCGAACACCUCCAGCCAGCGCCGGCUUUUGGUACGGGCACACAGAAAUCCAGCCCAGGAAUUCUGCAGCAUUUCAAGUGUGAUGCCAUCCUGGAUCCUGGAGCUGGGAAGUUUGCCCAUUUCUUUGCAGACCCUGCAGAGCACAAGAAGCAGCAGGACUGCAGCAUCAACAACCAGCAAUUGAGAGAAGAG
Zonotrichia leucophrys gambelii is the source of this 212-nucleotide long non-coding RNA. RefSeq lists it as uncharacterized. The transcript is spliced from 3 exons. NCBI's taxonomy places the organism in Eukaryota, Metazoa, Chordata, Aves, Passeriformes, Passerellidae. The record is from RefSeq and is a predicted model, not a curated record.